Long non-coding RNA from Lactuca sativa (garden lettuce), 2377 nucleotides. RefSeq lists it as uncharacterized. The record is from RefSeq and is a predicted model, not a curated record. Lineage: Eukaryota; Viridiplantae; Streptophyta; Magnoliopsida; Asterales; Asteraceae.
UUAGCAAACCAAGGGCACGAGAGUGCUUCUUGCUUUAAAUUUAAUUUGAGGAGGGGUUUAGCAUGUUGUUAAAAAACUGAGCAGUUAUUCUUUUAUAUCUCCCUUCCUUUCCAACGAUCUCCUGUCGAAGUGCGUCGCCGUCGACAGAAGAUGGGAAUAAUGCAACUCCACCAAUGAUGCUAAGUCCAGUGAGAUAAGCACUAUGACCAGGUAUGUCUUCUUGAAUCUCAGUAGUACCAUAAUCCAUAAGCAAAAGAUGAAUAAUGGACAAACAAACAGCAACAACAUAUCUCCCUUCUAAAACCAAUUGCAAUGCAGCUGGGAUUGUGGAGAAGAAAUUUGGGAAUAUCGGGAGUAAAGGGUUGAUAAACGCAAGAAAUGUGGACAUGUACAAAAAAUGAAUAUUAAAUAAUCUAAACAAAAGCCAAGUAAGACAGCCUUGAAAAAACGCAAUCUCAGCUGUAGCUAAAAGAACCCCAGAGAUAGCUUUAUCAAGAACCUCCACAGCUCGUGUUCUAGCAGAUCUUGAAAUAGGAAUCAUGUACAUAACUUGUUCAGUAACCCCACCUGCAUCCGAUGUUAUCAAAGAGUACAAAACCCCUGUGAAAACCAUUGAUUGGGACACAAAAUUUAAAAUACCAGCUGCCCCUGAAACAAUGGAUUCAACAACUACAAAAACAAGCUUUGUACUACCACCAACAAUGGAUUUACUACUAGAAAGAACACGUUGAAGAAUAUCUUUUCCUUGAAAAGCAAUUGCUUUUGCAUUCUUGAUCAUAUCUUCCCUAUUGACACGCACACGCGCGUCUUUGAACAAUCCGUUUACUUCUGGAUAAAUCUCUGCCCAUUCCCGAUUUACAACUUUUUUUGUCAAAGUUUGUAUCUUUUCUGUGUACGGGUUUCGGAUUGCUAUUGCAGUUGAAGGUGUGGAUGAAUUCGAGGGGUUUAUAAUACGUGGUAUGAUUAUAUGUUUCAUUUCUUGAACGAUUUCAGUCACGUUAUACUGCAUUGCUAAAGUAUCGAUUUGUACAUUUACAGUUUCAUAAAAUUGAGUGCUGUAUUUAUCCACCAUUAAUGGCACAUUGUUGUCAUCCAUCCAUUUUUUUAACCCGAUUUUCUCAGCUAUAUUGUUUCUUUCCACAUGGGUUUUUAUGGAAUAAACCACAUCUUUUCCUUCAACUCCAAUUUUGUAGGAGAAAAGCAGGGUCCCAGUUAGAGACCCUACAAUCAUACCAACAAUCAAUCCGAUUGCCACAAUUGUCUCCAAUUGAUUCAAAAUCCGGCUGGUGAGGAAAGCUGCAUGCCGAUUAUGGUUCAAAGUACGACCUCCAAAGGAAGAAACAGCAGCCAUGGUGGAUUUCGCAUGUCUGGAUGUAAACAUAAACCCUAACGCUAACAAAGUGAUGGCACCAAGAACACCAAGUUGCUCGUAAGCCAUUACAAAAACCCAAAACGACACCAACCAUCUCAAUAAAAUUGAAAACCCGCUUCGUUUUCGCUUCACAACAUCUCUUGUCUUCUUCUUACGAAGGAUUAGUUUAUAUAAAAAUUCUCUAAUCUCAACGAGACUCCCGAUGAAAACUCUAUACACGGAUACAGGUAUAGCUAGUACAGUUUCUGUAAGACCUAAUUCCAAAGGUUCAGACCAAAACGAAACUAAGGAUUGCUGAAUUCCUCGAAGAGGAAUCGAACAAAGAACAGCCCAGAGAAUCGGGCGGAGAUAUUCUUCAAGUAAUUUAGAAACGCCGUAGAUAAUAACAAGAGCAAAAACUAAGCCGGCGUGUGCCAUGGCUAUGUAUAGUGCGAGACGAACCUGAGAGUCGCCGGAGAGAGAAGUGGAGUCAUCCCUAUCCGGAUUGGUGGUGGAUUCCGGCGGUAACUGAGGUUGGGGUUCGGGAGAUGGAUCUGGUUGGCGGGUGGAGGCUGAUCGGGACAUGUCUUGCCACGGCGGUGAGGUGGAGGAGUUGGAGUUGGAGUUGGUGUUAGGAUCAGAAUAAGGCACCAGCUCCAUUUUUAUAGUUUAAAAUUAAAGUUGGAAUCUGUGAUACACAGAUAUUGUGAAGAUGACCCAAGCUACAGUGAACAGGAUGAGUUGGAAAGUUUUGACUUCUAAAUGCACGAUACACGUGCUAAACGGGGAUAAAGAAGUAAUAAUUGCAUUUUAAGCCUUGAGAAAAUCUUAAAAGUUGUUUUGGUUCAUAUGUAAGUGAUGAUUUUCGUGGAAAACAUACAUCAAGUAAUUUAGUAUACCUUGUAAGAGUGGGGAAAAGUCGAUACAGUCUGGUCCAUCUUUUUUCUUUAGAAAGAUAAGAUUUGAAAACAAUUUACUUAAUGAUAAUCAAAUCAAAACAAAAUUAUUAUUAUAUUGAUUUUGAUA